RNAcentral lists this ribosomal RNA (111 nucleotides) under Caerostris darwini. Lineage: Eukaryota; Metazoa; Arthropoda; Arachnida; Araneae; Araneidae. The record is from RNAcentral.
AACGGCCGUACCAUGCUGAAUAUACCGGUUCUCGUUAGAUCACCGAAGUUAAAAUCAUUGGGCGCGGUCAGUACUUGGGUGGGUGACCACCUGGGAACACCGCGUGCCGUU